CAGGGAGACAACAAAAUGUAAAUAUUAAUUUUGUCACCUUAGGUCGAUCGGUAUCUCUGAUUCUUAAUUUUUUAAGAAUUUCAGUUUCUAAGUUUUUUUUAGGUCACACCCAUCACUUUUUCCUGGGCCAUUAGCUCAGGUGGUUAGAGCGCACCCUUGAUAAGGGUGAGGUCCCUGGUUCAAGUCCAGGAUGGCCCAUAUCUCUAUGUUGGGGGUAUAGCUCAGUUGGUAGAGCGCCUGCUUUGCAAGCAGGAUGCCAGCGGUUCGAGUCCGCUUACCUCCACUGAAUACCACCUCUUACAUAUAUUUAAAGAGGGAAAUUGUUUUGAGUCGUGCCCUAAUUUGCUCUGAGCGAAUCUAGCUUCCUAUUCAAUAAAUAAGAUGCUGGACUCAUUGAAUUUUU
This 403-nucleotide transfer RNA is filed under the name uncultured cyanobacterium. RNAcentral describes it as "16S-23S ribosomal RNA intergenic spacer". The stretch from base 211 to 283 matches the Rfam family "tRNA". Lineage: Bacteria; Bacillati; Cyanobacteriota. The record is from RNAcentral.